UUUGGGACCAGGGUGUAUGAGGAGGUAGGAAGGCGUGGCCCCUGCACGAGGCCUGGCUGGGAAACGCCGCUGUGAUCACAUCGUUCAUCACUCACUGCUGACCACCUGACAGUUUUCCAGGACCAAGCCUCCUGCACUGUGUGAUUCUGGGAACAUCUCCUCUGGCUCACAAGGUCUGAAAAGCAAACCAGUCAGCUAUGGAAGUCAGAGACUCCAAAUGGAGGGGCCGGCUGAAGCCAUGGCAGAAGAACGUGGAUUGUGAAGAUUUCUUGGACAUUUAUUAGUUCCCCAAAUUAAUACUUUUAUAAUUUGUUAUGCCUGUCUUUACUGCAAUCUCUAAACAUAAACUGUAAAGAUUUCAUGGACACUUAUCACUUCCCCAAUUAAUACCCUUGUGAUUUCCUAUGCCUGUCUUUAAUCUCUUAAUCCUGUCAGCUGAGGAGGAUGUAUAUCGCCUCAGGACCCUGUAAUAAUUGCAUUAACUGCACAAAUUGUACAGCAUGUGUGUUUGAGCAAUAUGAAAUGUGGGCACCUUAAAAAAAGAACAGCAUAACAGCAAUUGUUCAGGGAAUAAGAGAGAUAACCUUAAACUCUGUCCACCAGUGAGCUGGGUGGAACAGAGCCAUAUUUCUCUUCUUUCAAAAGCAAAUGGGAGAAAUAUCACCGAAUUCUUUUUCUCAGCAUGGAACAUCCCCGAGAAAGAGAAUGCGCACCUGGGGGUAGGUCUCUAAACUGGCCCCACUGGGCGUGGUCGUCUCUUAUGGUCGAGACUGCAGAGGUGAGAUAGACUCCAGUCUCCCAUAGCGCUCCCAGGCUUAUUAGGAAGACGAAAUUCCUGCCGAAUAAAUUUUGGUCCGAUGGUUGAUCUCAAAACUCUGUCUCCUGAUAAGAUGUUAUCAAUGACAACAGUGCCUGAAACUUCAUUAGCAAUUUUAAUUUUGCCUCAGUCCUGUGGUCCUGUGAUCUCACCCUGCCUCCACUUGCCUUGUGAUAUUCUAUUACCUUGUAAAGUACUUUAUGUCUGUGACCCACACCUAUUUGCACACUCCCUCCCCUUUUGAAACUCCCUAAUAAAAACUUGCUGGUUUUUGUGGCUUGUGGGGCAUCACGGAACCUACUGACAUGCGAUGUCUCCCCCUGACGCCCGGCUUGAAAAUUUCUCUCUUUUGUACUCUGUCCCUUUAUUUCUGAAGCUGGCCAAUGCUUAGGGAAAAUAGAAAAGAACCUACAUGAAUAUUGGGGCAGUUUCCCCGAUAUCAAUACAUAUAACUAUGGACACUCAAAAAUAUUUUCAUAAGGAAACAACAUCAGGUUUGGAGGCUGUGAUCUAGAUAACUUUCUGAGUCAACAUUUUGCUCCUGAUGCAUUCAUGGCUAUCAAGCCAUCUUUCCUUUCUUCCCCUCACCUACCAUAUUCUGACUUCUACUCCUAGAUUAAUUUCUCCAAGAGGACAGAACAUAUUAAGAUGUGGUGGGUCAGAAUGUGCAGGUGGUAGUGGUGACACCCAGCUAAUGAGUGUGAGAGGCAUGGGUCUGUAUCUCCUCAGCUUUCAAGAUUACAGCCUGAGCUACACAGAAAGAAGCUCUGUGUCCAUUUUAUUAGCAACUUCACAACUUGCUUCUGAACCUGAUAAGGAAGCAAUGAUAUCCCAUUCCACUAGGUGGCAGCAAAACUUUACCCACAAGGUGCCCAAGUGGUUCACUGGUAUUAUUAGUGCUAACUUGUUCAGCCCCACUUUAUUAGCAGAAAGACAGUGGCUAACAGGAUACUUCAAUUACAUAAUGCCUCUGACAGUGGAGAACAGACACUGCC
RNAcentral lists this long non-coding RNA (1812 nucleotides) under Homo sapiens (human). RNAcentral describes it as "long non-coding RNA NONHSAT213390.1". Lineage: Eukaryota; Metazoa; Chordata; Mammalia; Primates; Hominidae. The record is from RNAcentral.